UCUCCCAGAUUUGCACAGAAAGAAAGGAAAAGGAGGGAGGGAAAGAAAGGAAAGGAAGAGAGAGAAGAGAGAAAGAAAAGAGAGUGAGAGAGAGUGGAGGCGUGAGCACAUCCGUCCGGUCAGAUGAGCCAGGUACAGGUGUUGAAGAGCGCGGGGUGGACCUGGAACCUGCUACCACUGAGGAGGAGUACUAAGACGAGGAGUUGCAACAGGAGGAGGCUACCUACUUUGGCUUAAACCAAUAGUUUAGUUAUCAUGGUUACUUUUUAGACAAUUACAUUUCUUUUUUUGAAUUUUAUAUAUGGCCCCAGUUGAGUGGCCUUGAAUAUUCAUUUGAGUUGGGAUAUAUCUAAGCUACGCUUGUUUCCACAAA
Molecule: long non-coding RNA, 373 nt
Organism: Magnolia sinica
Lineage: Eukaryota; Viridiplantae; Streptophyta; Magnoliopsida; Magnoliales; Magnoliaceae
Exons: 2
Source: RefSeq, a predicted model, not a curated record